Molecule: transfer RNA, 69 nt
Filed under: Batrachuperus pinchonii (Western Chinese mountain salamander)
Lineage: Eukaryota; Metazoa; Chordata; Amphibia; Caudata; Hynobiidae
Description: tRNA-Ala
Rfam family: tRNA
About the family: Transfer RNA (tRNA) molecules are approximately 80 nucleotides in length. Their secondary structure includes four short double-helical elements and three loops (D, anti-codon, and T loops). Further hydrogen bonds mediate the characteristic L-shaped molecular structure. tRNAs have two regions of fundamental functional importance: the anti-codon, which is responsible for specific mRNA codon recognition, and the 3' end, to which the tRNAs corresponding amino acid is attached (by aminoacyl-tRNA synthetases). tRNAs cope with the degeneracy of the genetic code in two manners: having more than one tRNA (with a specific anti-codon) for a particular amino acid; and 'wobble' base-pairing, i.e. permitting non-standard base-pairing at the 3rd anti-codon position.
Source: RNAcentral
AAGGUCUUAGCUUAAUUAAAGCAUCUGGGUUGCAUUCAGAUAAUGUAGAAUAAAGUCCUGCAGGUCUUA